Molecule: ribosomal RNA, 1534 nt
Filed under: metagenome
Description: bacterial LSU rRNA
Rfam family: Bacterial large subunit ribosomal RNA
Source: RNAcentral
CUUCGGGACUAGGGGUGAGGCUGAACGCUCGAUCCGAUCGGGUAGUAGGUAAGCGAUGGGGUGACGCAGGAAGGUAGUCCAGCCCAGGCGAUGGUUGUCCUGGGGUAAGCAUGUAGGGCGUGUCGUAGGUAAAUCCGCGGCAUUUAAGCCUGAGAUGUGAUGCCGAGCCGAUUGUGGUGAAGUGGAUGAUCCUAUGCUGCCGAGAAAAGCCUCUAGUGAGUGUUGUGGCGGCCCGUACCCUAAACCGACUCAGGUGGUCAGGUAGAGAAUACCAAGGCGAUCGGGUGAACUGUGGUUAAGGAACUCGGCAAAUUGCCCCCGUAACUUCGGGAGAAGGGGGACCUCUGUUGGUGAUGGGCUUUACGCCUGAGCUGGUGGGGGUCGCAGUGGCCAGGGGGGAGCGACUGUUUACUAAAAACACAGGUCCGUGCGAAGUCGUAAGACGAUGUAUACGGACUGACGCCUGCCCGGUGCCGGAACGUUAAGGGGACCGCUUAGCUGACGUGAGUUGGCGAAGGUGAGAACUUAAGCGCCGGUAAACGGCGGUGGUAACUAUAACCAUCCUAAGGUAGCGAAAUUCCUUGUCGGGUAAGUCCCGACCUGCACGAAUGGCGUAACACUUCCCCGCUGUCUCAACCGCAGACCCGGCGAAAUUGCACUACGAGUAAAGAUGCUCGUUUCGCGCAGCAGGACGGAAAGACCCCGGGACCUUCACUACAGCUUGACAUUGGCGUUUGGAACGUCUUGUGUAGGAUAGGUGGGAGACUGGGAAGCUGUCACGCUAGUGAUGGUGGAGUCAUUGGUGAAAUACCACUCUGGUCGUUUUGAACGUCUAACUCUGGUCCGUGAUCCGGAUCGGGGACAGUGUCUGGUGGGUAGUUUAACUGGGGCGGUUGCCUCCUAAAGAGUAACGGAGGCGCCCAAAGGUUCCCUCAGCCUGGUUGGCAAUCAGGUGUUGAGUGUAAGUGCACAAGGGAGCUUGACUGUGAGACUGACAGGUCGAGCAGGAGCGAAAGCUGGGACUAGUGAUCCGGCAUCGGCGUGUGGAAGCGGUGUCGCUCAACGGCUAAAAGGUACCCCGGGGAUAACAGGCUGAUCUUCCCCAAGAGUCCAUAUCGACGGGAUGGUUUGGCACCUCGAUGUCGGCUCGUCGCAUCCUGGGGCUGGAGUAGUCCCAAGGGUUGGGCUUUCGCCCAUUAAAGCGGUACGCGAGCUGGGUUUAGAACGUCGCGAGACAGUUCGGUCCCUAUCCGCUGCGCGCGCAGGAGACUUGAAGGGGGCUGUCCCUAGUACGAGAGGACCGGGACGGACGAACCUCUGGUGUGCCAGUUGUACCGCCAGGUGCACGGCUGGUUGGCUACGUUCGGAAGGGAUAACCGCUGAAAGCAUCUAAGCGGGAAGCUCGCCUUGAGAUGAGGUCUCCCACCACGAGAGUGGGUAAGGCUCCCGGUAGACGACCGGGUUGAUAGGCCGGAGGUGGAAGCACGGUAACGUGUGGAGCUGACCGGUACUAAUAGGCCGAGGACUUGACCAA